GGAACUUUGGUGUAUUUGCAUAGACUAUUUUCGUUGGUUAGGUUUGAAAGUUCUU
Molecule: transfer RNA, 55 nt
Filed under: Dracunculus medinensis (Guinea worm)
Lineage: Eukaryota; Metazoa; Nematoda; Chromadorea; Rhabditida; Dracunculidae
Description: tRNA-Glu
Source: RNAcentral